RNAcentral lists this long non-coding RNA (580 nucleotides) under Dromaius novaehollandiae (emu). Its description in RNAcentral is "lncRNA (ENSDNVG00000015495.1)". Lineage: Eukaryota; Metazoa; Chordata; Aves; Casuariiformes; Dromaiidae. The record is from RNAcentral.
GGUCCGGGCUGACGGCCCCCGACAGGCUCCUGGGUGGAGCUGCGCUGCGGCCCGGGGCGCCCCGACCCCGCGGUGUCGCGGUUCUCCUCCCGCCACGCCGACGUGGAGCGGAUGCUGCUGGAGGCCCAGCUGGAGACGGAGAGCGCGGACAGCCCCCUGCUCGUGCCGAGCUCCCCAGCCCGGGAGGACGUCGGCGGGUGCCCCGGGGACCGAGAGCCGCCCCCUGCCUGCAGCCGGCCCCAGCCCGGCUGCGCCCACCCCGCGCAGCGGGACGCGCCGGAGGAGGCCGAGCGCCGGGAGCGGCACUUGCCGGCAUCCCUCGCCUGGGCCUGCGCCCGCCGCCGCCAGCGUCUGUCUCCCAAGGACCUCGCCUGCGUGUGCUCCCCCCCGCCGGCCCUGUGGAGCCUCCAGGGAGGCUCCGUGGGGAGGAAGAAGAGGCUCUUCAGUUCGGAGGUGCUGCUGCUCUUCAUCCCCUCGCUGCUGCUCAGCCACCUGCUGACCCUGGGCCUGGGGUGAGUUCCCGAUGGGUCGCGUUUGUGCUGCGGAGCGGCCGUGGCCGGAACUGACCCCUCGGGUCUGC